RNAcentral lists this long non-coding RNA (327 nucleotides) under Ursus maritimus (polar bear). Its description in RNAcentral is "lncRNA (ENSUMAG00000002875.1)". Lineage: Eukaryota; Metazoa; Chordata; Mammalia; Carnivora; Ursidae. The record is from RNAcentral.
GACUUUCAGUAGAAAAAUAUGUUAUCGGGAAUCUUAUUCUGAUAAGUGUGAACAUUUUGUCAAAUAGGAAUUUUCUUAAAGUUGAUUUUUUUAAAAUGAGUUUUAUGUUCUAAAAUACUCUCUCUGAUUGCUUUUAGGUUACCUUGGGUAUGAAUUAAUACAGACUUGGAAACUGAAAGAACUUAGAAUCAGCAUUUUGAGAGCAGAAGCUUGGGCAUGCUGUGAUUUUCCAAUACACUGCUAUCACAAUGUCAAAAUGCAGUUCAGACAACAGCAACACAGAGAUCUCAAACAUUAAAACGUAAAGCUGUGCUAGAGCAGAAUGCA